AUUGAACGCUGGCGGCAUGCUUUACACACGCAAGUCGAACGGUAACAGGGUGCUUGCACCGCUGACGAGUGGCGAACGGGUGAGUAAUGCGUCGGAACGUGCCGAGUAGUGGGGGAUAACGCAGCGAAAGUUGUGCUAAUACCGCAUACGUACUGAGGUAGAAAGUGGGGGACCUUCGGGCCUCACGCUAUUCGAGCGGCCGACGUCUGAUUAGCUAGUAGGUGAGGUAAAGGCUCACCUAGGCGACGAUCAGUAGCGGGUCUGAGAGGAUGUACAGCAAAACUGGGACUGAGACACGGCCGAGACUCCUACGGGAGGCAGCAGUGGGGAAUUUUGGACAAUGGGCGAAAGCCUGAUCCAGCCAUGCCGCGUGUCUGAAGAAGGCCUUCGGGUUGUAAAGGACUUUUGUCAGGGAGGAAAUCCCUAGUGCUAAUAACACUGGGGGAUGACAGUACCUGAAGAAUAAGCACCGGCUAGCUACGUGCCAGCCGCCACGGUAA
RNAcentral lists this ribosomal RNA (500 nucleotides) under uncultured bacterium. RNAcentral's name for it is "partial 16S ribosomal RNA". It matches the Rfam family "Bacterial small subunit ribosomal RNA", at positions 30 to 523 of the family's 1533-position model. The record is from RNAcentral.